Molecule: ribosomal RNA, 463 nt
Filed under: uncultured bacterium
Lineage: Bacteria
Description: partial 16S ribosomal RNA
Rfam family: Bacterial small subunit ribosomal RNA
Source: RNAcentral
GACGAACGCUGGCGGCGUGCUUAAUACAUGCAAGUCGAACGGUGAACCUCUUCGGAGGGGAUCAGUGGCGAACGGGCGAGUAACACGUGGGCAACCUGCCCCCGGCCCUGGGAUAACUCCAAGAAAUCGGGGCUAAUACCGGAUGUUCACCGCUUCCCGCAUGGGUGGUGGUGCAAUGGGUUUCCGGCUGGGGAUGGGCCCGCGGCCUAUCAGCUUGUUGGCGGGGUAGUGGCCUACCAAGGCGACGACGGGUAGCCGGCCUGGGAGGGUGACCGGCCACACUGGGACUGAGACACGGCCCAGACUCCUACGGGAGGCAGCAGGGGGGAAUAUUGCGCAAUGGGCGGAAGCCUGACGCAGCGACGCCGCGUGGGGGAUGACGGCCUUCGGGUUGUAAACCUCUUUCAGCAGGGACGAAGCGCAAGUGACGGUACCUGCAGAAGAAGCACCGGCCAACUACGUG